AUACGUAGGGCGCGAGCGUUGUCCGGAAUUAUUGGGCGUAAAGAGCUCGUAGGCGGCUUGUCGCGUCUGCCGUGAAAGCCCGUGGCUUAACUGCGGGUCUGCGGUGGAUACGGGCAGGCUUGAGGCUGGUAGGGGCAAGUGGAAUUCCUGGUGUAGCGGUGAAAUGCGCAGAUAUCAGGAGGAACACCGGUGGCGAAGGCGGCUUGCUGGGCCAGUUCUGACGCUGAGGAGCGAGAGCGUGGGGAGCGAACAGGAUUAGAUACCCUGGUAGUCCACGCUGUAAACGUUGGGCGCUAGGUGUGGGGGUCUUCCACGGUUCCUGUGCCGUAGCUAACGCAUUAAGCGCCCCGCCUGGGGAGUACGGCCGCAAGGCUAAA
This 377-nucleotide ribosomal RNA is filed under the name uncultured bacterium. RNAcentral describes it as "bacterial SSU rRNA". It matches the Rfam family "Bacterial small subunit ribosomal RNA", at positions 523 to 898 of the family's 1533-position model. The record is from RNAcentral.